CCAGACAGCCAGGAUGUUGGCUUAGAAGCAGCCAUCAUUUAAAGAAAGCGUAAUAGCUCACUGGUCGAGUCGGCCUGCGCGGAAGAUGUAACGGGGCUAAACCAUGCACCGAAGCUGCGGCAGCGACGCUUAUGCGUUGUUGGGUAGGGGAGCGUUCUGUAAGCCUGUGAAGGUGUGCUGUGAGGCAUGCUGGAGGUAUCAGAAGUGCGAAUGCUGACAUAAGUAACGAUAAAGCGGGUGAAAAGCCCGCUCGCCGGAAGACCAAGGGUUCCUGUCCAACGUUAAUCGGGGCAGGGUGAGUCGACCCCUAAGGCGAGGCCGAAAGGCGUAGUCGAUGGGAAACAGGUUAAUAUUCCUGUACUUGGUGUUACUGCGAAGGGGGGACGGAGAAGGCUAUGUUGGCCGGGCGACGGUUGUCCCGGUUUAAGCGUGUAGGCUGGUUUUCCAGGCAAAUCCGGAAAACCAAGGCUGAGGCGUGAUGACGAGGCACUACGGUGCUGAAGCAACAAAUGCCCUGCUUCCAGGAAAAGCCUCUAAGCAUCAGGUAACAUCAAAUCGUACCCCAAACCGACACAGGUGGUCAGGUAGAGAAUACCAAGGCGCUUGAGAGAACUCGGGUGAAGGAACUAGGCAAAAUGGUGCCGUAACUUCGGGAGAAGGCACGCUGAUAUGUAGGUGAAGCGACUAGCUCGUGGAGCUGAAAUCAGUCGAAGAUACCAGCUGGCUGCAACUGUUUAUUAAAAACACAGCACUGUGCAAACACGAAAGUGGACGUAUACGGUGUGACGCCUGCCCGGUGCCGGAAGGUUAAUUGAUGGGGUUAGCGGUAACGCGAAGCUCUUGAUCGAAGCCCCGGUAAACGGCGGCCGUAACUAUAACGGUCCUAAGGUAGCGAAAUUCCUUGUCGGGUAAGUUCCGACCUGCACGAAUGGCGUAAUGAUGGCCAGGCUGUCUCCACCCGAGACUCAGUGAAAUUGAACUCGCUGUGAAGAUGCAGUGUACCCGCGGCAAGACGGAAAGACCCCGUGAACCUUUACUAUAGCUUGACACUGAACAUUGAGCCUUGAUGUGUAGGAUAGGUGGGAGGCUUUGAAGUGUGGACGCCAGUCUGCAUGGAGCCGACCUUGAAAUACCACCCUUUAAUGUUUGAUGUUCUAACGU
This 1161-nucleotide ribosomal RNA is filed under the name Escherichia coli. RNAcentral describes it as "partial 23S ribosomal RNA". It matches the Rfam family "Bacterial large subunit ribosomal RNA", at positions 1085 to 2228 of the family's 2925-position model. The record is from RNAcentral. Lineage: Bacteria; Pseudomonadati; Pseudomonadota; Gammaproteobacteria; Enterobacterales; Enterobacteriaceae.